CUCACACACACAAGGAAAUCUUAAGCAGAUUUAACUAAAGGUUUAUUCAGCAACAACUGCAUUUUUGUCCUUCUCCUUUCCCUCCUUUUUCCUCUUGAUCCCCCACACGCUCUACAGGAUCCCCGUUGGGACAAAUGUCCAAACAAACUGCAAAAGAUGGCUGAAUAGAAUAUAACAGGAAGACAACUGAAAAUUACCCCUCCCCCUUCAUGAAUGGAGAGCCCUGGAACAUCAGAGCAAGGUUAUUCUGCAUGUUGGCCAUCAUUGGUUGCUUGAAGCAUAUGAAAUUGGUAACAGUACAGACAGGAAAUAUAUAUGCUCAAGUUUUCGUACUGCAAAGACUGGUCUCUUUCAUGUUAUGUUGAAGAGGACCAAAGACUUGUGUUACCUGCUUGGGAGGAAUCUGUAUAAGUUGCAACCCAUCUGAAAGGGGGGAUGGUGAAGAAGAAAAAAGGGGGGAAAGGAAGCUGUCCAGACAAGGGAGUUCUCAGUGGUUAACCUUCUGGAACACAUUAGCUACUCCAAACUCCCAAAUGCCCAGACUAAACAACUCUGUAAAGUCUUGAUUUUAUUCAUAGACCGGAAAUUGUUUGGUUAAAGACUGGAAAGAUAGCUAUGAGAAGCCACUUACAGACACUCGCUUGACUGUACUUUACUGUAAAAUCAUCCAUGCCUAAAAAUUC
This is a long non-coding RNA of Hemicordylus capensis (graceful crag lizard), 683 nucleotides long. RefSeq lists it as uncharacterized. Lineage: Eukaryota; Metazoa; Chordata; Lepidosauria; Squamata; Cordylidae. The record is from RefSeq and is a predicted model, not a curated record. The transcript has 2 exons.